ACAAAAUAGCAGUAAUAGGCAAUCAUCAAAUUACAUAAGUGCCAGAGCACAUGAUAACUCCAAAACCUGUGGCAUGAAUAAAUCAAAAUUAAUUUUUGGCUGCCUCUAAUACAAACAUCCAAACAUGUAUGAUUAUCUUCCAAAUAUAACCCUACUUUUAGCUCAGUCUGACACAUUCUGUUCUAUUCCAUAGCAUCACAAAAUACUCACACCAAGUUAAAUACAUCCCAAUCAAACAAAAUAGAGAACCUAAUAAGCUACCUUUAAAUUAUAUUGAGUAUACAACCAUACAUCAAAAAUUGUCUCUGGUACAAGAAAAUCAAGGCUCCAGAAUGUUAAGUAGUUCAAUCUUUCAUAAAGUAACAAGGUUUAAUCAUACACAAGCAAAUUAGUCAAAUUAAGGCUCUGUUUGGGAAGAACAUAUCAAAGAGAUUAAAAGGAAGAAGACGAAGACGAAGAACGCGGCUUAGUAGACGGAAGACGACGAACUCCGAGCUGACCUCGAGGAAGAAGCUGCUAUCAGUGAGAGCGAACAGGGGGUUGGAGACUUGGAGCUCGCGGACAGGACGAAGAGGGAAGCUCCUGAGUGCGAUGGAUGGCGGCAGUGUCCCACUCCUUGCGGUGGCAGUGGUGGAGGAUAGAUGUCUAGGGUUUUUUUUGGUUGAGGGUAGUGCAAGGUUCUGAAUUGUGAAGGAAAGAAAAGGAGAGAGGGG
This 713-nucleotide long non-coding RNA is filed under the name Arachis ipaensis. RNAcentral describes it as "long non-coding RNA (AIPA_LNC002213)". Lineage: Eukaryota; Viridiplantae; Streptophyta; Magnoliopsida; Fabales; Fabaceae. The record is from RNAcentral.